Molecule: RNA transcript, 2018 nt
Organism: Balaenoptera ricei (Rice's whale)
Lineage: Eukaryota; Metazoa; Chordata; Mammalia; Artiodactyla; Balaenopteridae
Gene: RMND1
Gene name: required for meiotic nuclear division 1 homolog
Exons: 13
Source: RefSeq, a predicted model, not a curated record
GGGCGCUGGGUCCGUGUUGGGAGUGGCUGCGGGAGCGCGGGGCUGCCGCCGGGACUCUUGUCUCUUGCCUGCGGCAGAGCCGUAGGAGCUUGCGCGUUUGGCGCGUCUGUCUUUUCCUCCCGCGGAGAGCUUGAGAUGUGGUAAUGUCAGCCAGACUUCUCAGAUCCUUGGCCAGAUGUCACUAUAUUCUAUCAAAAGCGUGUCAGUGCCAAAGACUUGUUCAUCGAACAUUAAAACCACUUAAGGAAUUUGAGACCACAGCAUGCAACACCCUGACAAGACGUCAGAACGUGAAUUUGUUCUUUCCUGAUACAGCAGCUGUUGGUUUGAAUAAGUCCCAGGUCCUGGAAAUGAACCGGAAAAUAUCAAAUACAAACGUACUCUCUCCAUUAAACACCGCACGUUACCAAGAUGAAAAAGAGCACCUUCCAACCAGGAACUCCCUUGGUACUCAUAGGAAAGUGACUCACAAACCAAAUCUGUUAGGUUUUAAGUGGUUUAUAAAAAUAUUAAAGAGACAUUCCUCAUCUGUGUCAACGGAAACACUUGUUUCUAAACAAGACUUUCCGCAAAUCAAGAGACCACUGAAAGCAUCAAGGACCAGGCAGCCAUCCAGGACCAACCUUCCAGUUCUGCCUGUGAACAAGGACCUGAUGCACUGUACUGCAUUUGCAACCGCAGAUGAAUACCAUCUUGGAAGUCUCUCUCAAGAUCUGGCCUCCCAUGGAUAUGUUGAAGUAACAAGCUUGCCUAGAGAUGCAGCAAAUAUUUUGGUGAUAGGUAUGGAAAAUUCUGCAAAAGAAGGUGAUCCUGGAACAAUAUUCUUCUUCAGGGAAGGAGCUGCUGUCUUCUGGAAUGUGAAAGACAAAACUAUGAAGCAUGUGAUGCAAGUUCUUGAAAAACAUGAAAUUCAGCCCUAUGAAAUUGCAUUGGUACACUGGGAGAAUGAAGAGCUUAACUACUCAAAAACAGAGGGACAGUCAAAACUUCACAGAGGGGAAAUCAGGUUAAAUUCAGAGCUAGAUUUAGAGGACGCCAUUCUAGAGAAAUUUGCUUUCUCAAAUGCUCUUUGCCUUUCAGUGAAACUGGCUAUCUGGGAAGCAUCACUGGAUAAAUUUGUUGAAUCUAUUCAGUCGAUUCCAGAGGCUUUAAAAGCUGGGAAGAAAGUGAAACUAUCUCAUGAAGAAGUUAUGCAGAAAAUGGGUGAACUCUUUGCCUUAAGACACCAUAUAAACUUGAGUUCAGACUUCUUGAUCACUCCUGAUUUCUACUGGGACAGAGAAAAUCUGGAAGAACUUUAUGAUAAAACUUGUCGGUUCCUCAGCAUUACUCGUAGAGUUAAGGUCAUGAAUGAAAAGCUUCAGCACUGCAUGGCGCUGACAGAUCUGAUGCGGAAUCACCUGACCGAGAAGAGGACGCUCCGCCUGGAGUGGAUGAUCGUCAUCCUUAUCACCAUAGAGGUAAUGUUUGAGCUGGGACGAGUAUUUUUCUGAUUAAGUGACGACCAAAGGAAAAGUGUCAUUGCAAGAUAUAUUGAAGUUCUACAAUCAAAAAUAAAUGCUCACCUGUUGAGAUUAAUAGGGGACACGGGUUCGAGCCCUGGUCCGGGAAAAUCCCACAUGCCGUGGAGCAACUAAGCUCGAGCACCGCAACUACUGAGCCUGCACUUUAGAGCCCAUGAGCCACAACUACUGAGCCCGUGUGCUGCAACUACUGAAGCCCACGCACCUAGAGCCUGUGCUCCGCAACAAGAGAAGCCACCGCAAUGAGAAGCCUGCGCACUGCAAUGAAGAGUAGCCCCCGUUCGCCGCAACUAGAGAAAGCCCGCGUGCAGCAACAAACACCCAACGCAGCCAAGAAAUAAAUUUUUUUAAAAAGAAAACUCAUUUCUACCUUAAAAAAAAAAGCUUUCUAGAUCCUCAAGUUCCACAUCAGCACUUUCAUAAAAUCGCUGUGCCUGCAUUGUCACCUGUAAGCAGCGUAUCAAGCCUGUUCUCCUUUCCCAUUUUCCCAUCUCA